AGUGAACGCUGGCGGUAGGCCUAACACAUGCAAGUCGAACGGCAGCACAGUAAGAGCUUGCUCUUACGGGUGGCGAGUGGCGGACGGGUGAGGAAUACAUCGGAAUCUACUUUUUCGUGGGGGAUAACGUAGGGAAACUUACGCUAAUACCGCAUACGACCUACGGGUGAAAGCAGGGGAUCUUCGGACCUUGCGCGAUUGAAUGAGCCGAUGUCGGAUUAGCUAGUUGGCGGGGUAAAGGCCCACCAAGGCGACGAUCCGUAGCUGGUCUGAGAGGAUGAUCCGCCCCACUGGAACCUGGGACCCGUCCCGGCCUCUAACGGGAGGCACAGUGGGGAAUUUUGGGCCAUGGGGGGAAACCCGGUCCCAGCCUUCCCGGUGGGUUGAGGAGGCCCUCCGGGUUUUAAAGCCCUUUGGUUGGAAAAAAAAGCAGCAGGUUAAUACCCCGCUGUUCUGACGGUACCCAAAGAAUAAGCACCGGCUAACUUCGUG
RNAcentral lists this ribosomal RNA (492 nucleotides) under uncultured bacterium. Its description in RNAcentral is "partial 16S ribosomal RNA". It matches the Rfam family "Bacterial small subunit ribosomal RNA", at positions 29 to 507 of the family's 1533-position model. The record is from RNAcentral.